RNAcentral lists this ribosomal RNA (454 nucleotides) under uncultured bacterium. RNAcentral describes it as "bacterial SSU rRNA". It matches the Rfam family "Bacterial small subunit ribosomal RNA", at positions 340 to 786 of the family's 1533-position model. The record is from RNAcentral.
UACGGGAGGCAGCAGUGGGGAAUAUUGCACAAUGGGCGCAAGCCUGAUGCAGCCAUGCCGCGUGUAUGAAGAAGGCCUUCGGGUUGUAAAGUACUUUCAGUCGUGAGGAAGGUGUUAAGGUUAAUAACCUUAGCAAUUGACGUUAGCGACAGAAGAAGCACCGGCUAACUCCGUGCCAGCAGCCGCGGUAAUACGGAGGGUGCGAGCGUUAAUCGGAAUUACUGGGCGUAAAGGGCACGCAGGCGGUUAAUUAAGUUGGAUGUGAAAUCCCCGGGCUUAACCUGGGAAUGGCAUUCAAGACUGGUUAGCUAGAGUCUUGUAGAGGGGGUAGAAUUCCAUGUGUAGCGGUGAAAUGCGUAGAGAUGUGGAGGAAUACCGGUGGCGAAGGCGGCCCCUGGGACAAAGACUGACGCUCAUGUGCGAAAGCGUGGGGAGCGAAACAGGGAUUGAUACC